GCGCCUGCGCGGUCGGCGCCUCCAAGGCUGUGUACCCUGCUCUCGGCUUCCAAAGUCGCGCUGCGUAUGGGUUCUCUGAAUCCGAAGGGUUUCCUAGCGGUUUAUUGAAGUGCCGCCAGGUUAAAUUGUCCCGCCUACUUUCUGCCUUCCAGCUGGCUGUAUCCUGCCCUCACUCUAUACCCAGACAAGUCCUGUGACUGUAACCAAACUUCCGAGAGUGGUUUCUUGAGCUCUAUCAAAGCUUGUGCAAAGCUGCCCUGACAGGAAGUGACCAAGCCCACCCUCACGCCUGUUGCCUCAUCGCCCAGUUCAGAGAAUUUGUGACUCAAAGCCUCUAACAAACAUUAAUGUGUUUGGGAAGAUUCUAAGAUGCAAUCCCAUCAAUGUUGUUUGAAAUAAAAUUGUUAUUGUGGGCUGA
Hipposideros armiger (great roundleaf bat) is the source of this 418-nucleotide long non-coding RNA. RefSeq lists it as uncharacterized. The record is from RefSeq and is a predicted model, not a curated record. Lineage: Eukaryota; Metazoa; Chordata; Mammalia; Chiroptera; Hipposideridae. The transcript is spliced from 2 exons.